UGGGGAAUAUUGCACAAUGGGCGAAAGCCUGAUGCAGCAACGCCGCGUGAGUGAUGAAGGUCUUCGGAUUGUAAAGCUCUGUCUUUUGGGACGAUAAUGACGGUACCAAAGGAGGAAGCCACGGCUAACUACGUGCCAGCAGCCGCGGUAAUACGUAGGUGGCGAGCGUUGUCCGGAUUUACUGGGCGUAAAGGGUGCGUAGGCGGAUGUUUAAGUGAGAUGUGAAAUACCCCGGGCUUAA
Molecule: ribosomal RNA, 241 nt
Filed under: uncultured bacterium
Lineage: Bacteria
Description: partial 16S ribosomal RNA
Rfam family: Bacterial small subunit ribosomal RNA
Source: RNAcentral